Molecule: long non-coding RNA, 203 nt
Filed under: Vigna radiata
Lineage: Eukaryota; Viridiplantae; Streptophyta; Magnoliopsida; Fabales; Fabaceae
Description: long non-coding RNA (VRAD_LNC008646)
Source: RNAcentral
GGAAUUUAAUGAUAAAAUCAUAAAACAUGUCCUCAACUCUUUUAUUCACAAAACUAAAGAAAAAUCACAAGUCAAAGCAAGUUUCUAAGUCCACAAGGGUGCAUUUCAUAUCAAAAUUAAGUACGAAAAUAACGGUUUUUCAACCGUUAUCAGUGUCCACAGCCUCGUAACUUCUCAACUGAAUUUGGUGUCAACAAUUUCAC